UCGAACGGCAGCACAAGUGCUUGCACUUGGUGGCGAGUGGCGAACGGGUGAGUAAUGCAUCGGAACGUGUCUUAAAGUGGGGGAUAACGCAUCGAAAGAUGUGCUAAUACCGCAUAUUCUCUGAGGAGGAAAAUAGGGGAUCGUAAGACCUUAUGCUAUAAGAGCGGCCGAUGUCUGAUUAGCUAGUUGGUAAGGUAAUGGCUUACCAAGGCAACGAUCAGUAGUUGGUCUGAGAGGACGACCAGCCACACUGGGACUGAGACACGGCCCAGACUCCUACGGGAGGCAGCAGUGGGGAAUUUUGGACAAUGGGCGAAAGCCUGAUCCAGCAAUGCCGCGUGAGUGAAGAAGGCCUUCGGGUUGUAAAGCUCUUUCAGUCGAGAAGAAAAAAUUAUGACAAAUAAUCAUAAUUCAUGACGGUAUCGACAGAAGAAGCACCGGCUAACUACGUGCCAGCAGCCGCGGUAAUACGUAGGGUGCGAGCGUUAAUCGGAAUUACUGGGCGUAAAGGGUGCGCAGGCGGUUUUGUAAGUCAGAUGCGAAAUCCCCGGGCUUAACCUGGGAAUUGCGUUUGAAACUACAAAGCUAGAGUGUGGCAGAGGGAGGUGGAAUUCCAUGUGUAGCAGUGAAAUGCGUAGAGAUAUGGAAGAACAUCGAUGGCGAAGGCAGCCUCCUGGGUUAACACUGACGCUCAUGCACG
This 700-nucleotide ribosomal RNA is filed under the name uncultured Nitrosomonas sp. RNAcentral's name for it is "bacterial SSU rRNA". It matches the Rfam family "Bacterial small subunit ribosomal RNA", at positions 62 to 755 of the family's 1533-position model. The record is from RNAcentral. Lineage: Bacteria; Pseudomonadati; Pseudomonadota; Betaproteobacteria; Nitrosomonadales; Nitrosomonadaceae.